CAACUCCUGGAAUGCACGAUAAUGCCCUGAUAUUUUGAACCUACAACAUUAAUAAGGGAGUUCGACGUUUUCGUACGGAUGUCAGGCCGCUUUAAGCGGAAGGCAGAAAUACGGGACAGGACACCCACCUAGAUUCUUCUAGGCGUCAAAAUUCGGGGGACGGCAUUUCGGGAAAAAA
This 178-nucleotide non-coding RNA is filed under the name Eubacteriaceae bacterium. RNAcentral's name for it is "6S RNA". It matches the Rfam family "6S / SsrS RNA". Rfam says of the family: E. coli 6S RNA was the first non coding RNA to be sequenced, but its function was unknown until recently. It consists of 184 nucleotides that fold into an extended hairpin structure with a large single-stranded internal bulge. The record is from RNAcentral. Lineage: Bacteria; Bacillati; Bacillota; Clostridia; Eubacteriales; Eubacteriaceae.